Long non-coding RNA from Prionailurus viverrinus (fishing cat), 250 nucleotides. RefSeq lists it as uncharacterized. The transcript is spliced from 3 exons. The record is from RefSeq and is a predicted model, not a curated record. Lineage: Eukaryota; Metazoa; Chordata; Mammalia; Carnivora; Felidae.
AGACAAACAAAAGUCCUAAAACUCUCAAACCAAGCACAAGAAUGACAUCUGGACAAAAACCACCCUUAUUCCUGCGGAAGAUGUGCCCAUAAAGAGACGAUGAUUUCCGGACCCUCAAACCCCAUUCUAAAUCCUGGAAGAAAUUUCAGAGGCUGUGGGUAUCUCAGGAAACAAAUGCAAACGGCAGAGCUCUCAGAGGACUAGGAACCAGCACCCACAAAGGCUGCUAGUACCAAAUGUAACCUCUCUC